Molecule: long non-coding RNA, 13637 nt
Filed under: Citrus x clementina
Lineage: Eukaryota; Viridiplantae; Streptophyta; Magnoliopsida; Sapindales; Rutaceae
Description: Citrus clementina (C. clementina) long non-coding RNA (CCLE_LNC006591)
Source: RNAcentral
GAAAGAAGAGAAGAAAAAGUGUGGAGAGGUGUGUUCCCCCCUCUCUAUUUAUACUCAUACAUGGUUAAUCCACACCAUACAAAUAAAUAAAAGCAAAAUUACAUCUUAGCCCAUAUAUUUGUCCCACUUACAAAAUAUAAACCAACUUAAUCCACUCAAGUACAUCUAACACAUUCCACUAACAAAUUACAAUACCUAACAUAGUAAAAACUUAUAAUUUCACAGUUACCACAUUUACCGUGGUAAAAACUUAUAAAUUUCCAACAAAAGUGGCAGUUCCUUCUCGACAAUGACCUAAUUUUUGAAACUUCUGGAAUCUAAAUUUAACAUCCGUACAUUUGUUUGGAGCCCCAAAUUACGUGAAAUUAUUAUUUUUACCUAAUAAACCACAAAAUACAUAAAAUAAAAUAUUUAGAAAAUAAUUAGAAAUUCAUAAUAUGUUACAUAAUUAUAAAUGUGAAUUAUAUUAUAAGCACAAAAUAACAAUUUUAUCCCUUAAUAAACAUACAUUUUUUAACACUAAUCACAAGGCAUGAAUUUUAGACAUGGUCAAUUAAUCCUUUUAGUGCUUCUUUCAUUUUAGACCUCUAUGGAUGCUUAAUGGAUCUUAUAAAGCUUAGCAAACUGUUUCUUAUCAUUCCCCCUCUCUUAAAAGAGAUUUGUCCUCAAAUCUUCAUGUACAUUAAAAGGAGACAAAUAAGCAACAUUAAAGCUUGCAUUUACAAUAUACUUACAUGGAAGAUCCAACUUGUAAACAUUGUCAUUCAUCAUUUCAAUCACUUGAAAUCGUCCAUCUACCAUAAGGAGUAGUUUAGAACACCCCUAAAUAGGGAACUAUUGCUUCUACAAAGGGACUAAAAGUCCCUCUAUGCUGCAAAAGGCUAUUUCAAACUGUUGGAUCCAAUUUAAAUGAAUCCAAAGGUUGAAAUUUAUUAUCUAUUAAAAAUAAAGAAAUUAUGAAGUAAAAAUUUAAAAAAACAAGGGAAUCAUUUGGAAAGGUAACAUGUACCAAUUAUUACUAUUCUAAAUUCCUAUUUUCUUAGUCAUAAGAAAUCAUAAAGCAAGAAAGAUAUACAAAAAGAAGAGGAGGACAAGGUCCUUCACAACUCAGACAAGAGGCAAAAUUACCACUUUAAAGGAGGAAGAGACAAUAAUGAGCUUCUAUUAAAACUAAGGAUAUGCCCUUAUUUGGCAAAGAAAACUUUGAGAUCUUCACAAGUUGAUAAGGUCUUUUGUUGUAAUUGGAUGAUACUAAGUGGCUCUUUUUGAUGAUUUAAAUUAGCAGUUUAUUCUUGUGUGUGGAUGGUGAGAAAAUUGAUGAGAUGAAAUUAGGUUUUUGUUGCCAUUUUUUUUUCAUCUUUUUUGGGAUUGAUUGAUUUGCAAUUUGAUUGUAGAAAUAAAUUGUGAAUUAAAGAAACUUUUAGUUGGAAAAUGAAGAGAGCUUUUAGGUUUUUUGGUUUUGGUUUUUCAAAUUUGUGUAGGAUUUAUUUUGGAUUUGAUUUGCUGCUAUUUUUGGAUGAAAUUUGUUAGUAAUUUUUUUUUUGUUGUUUUGGGCUUUAUUUGCCACUAUUUCUCAGUAAAAUUUUUAUUGUUUUUGAGUAAAUUUACCUCUAUUUUUAAGUUAAAUUUGCUGUUAUUUCUGGGUAAAUUCACUGUUGUUUUUAGGUUAAAUUUGUUACUAGUUAUGCGUAAAUUUUCUACUCUUUUGGACUUGUUUUGUUGUUGCUUUUAGGCAAAAUAUUUUUCAUUUUUGGGUAAAUUUACUACUGUUUCUACGUUAAAUUUGCUAUUGUUUCUAGUUAAAUUGAUGAUAUUUUUGGGCUUUCUUUGUUGUCGUUUCUGGGGUUAAAUUUGUUGCUACUUUUAGGUAAAUAUUUUGCUGUAUUUGGGGUCCUAUGAUAGGUUUGCUUUAUUUCUGAGUUGAGCCUUUGUUGGUUACCUUAUUUUUCUCCUUACAAAGAGAAUUAAUUGUGCUUUUGAAAAAUCUAUAGAUUAAGAAACCGAGCUCUUUUGUUUUCCUUAAGAUCUACAUAUAAAAGAUGCUUGGAUAAGGUGUUCUAUAAUUUUUUUAAGAAUAUAAUCUUGAAUUUAUAUUUUUAAAGAGAAUGCAAUUUGACUUGGAAACACAUUUGAUAUUUCGUGUGUCUUGUUAAUGCUAGGGAUUUAUAUUAGAACUGUAGUUGUUGAACCAAAUGACUAUAUGACAUUGAUUUUGACGAUAACAAUGACGUAUUAAGAGUUUAUUGGUAAAUAUAUGUUUCAAAUCCCACUAGCUCUUAGUAGAUUAAAGAUAAAAAAUCUUCCUUGUGAGAACCAGUUCAAAGAAUCCAACUGGAUAAAAGUUCAAAACUCAUCAAAUCAAGGACAAGCAUCAAGGGUACUAGCUUAGGUGAUUUCUCUUAUUAACAACUCUUGUAAAGUUAGUAUAAUUAAAUGAAUGCAUGUUCUAGCACUUAAAAACUCAAACUAUUUUUAUAACAUUUUAAAGAAAGUCAUUUUCAUAAGACAAAUGUUGUACUUUAAAAGGAAAAAUUAUUUUAUGAAAUAAGUAGUUUUCAAAGCUAAUGGACUAAAUUGAUGAAUGUUUUUGUGAACUUUGAAAUCCUAGAAAUGGGUUUAUCUGAAUCUUCAUAAAAAUUUAGGAAAAAAUUAUGAUUUCAAAAAACUUAUUAGUGAAUAGUUUAUGGCAAGUGUUGGUUAAUUUUUACUCAAUUGCUACUGAUGCAAAUGUGCAAGUGUACAUAAUAAGUAAUAAAGUGAUAAGUAUUCAAGUUCGUCUCCACAUAGAUUAAUAUUACUAGAAAUGCUACAACAAUCACAAUAGUGCAAUCUGACUUAAUUUUAAGAUGAACAAAUUUAAAGUUGAUUGCUACCGAACUUAACAAUUGUAAAGAAAUAAAACAAAUAAAUGCAGUAAUGAAAUAAGUUAAAUAAAUUACGUAGAAGAAUCAAAUGAGAAUGAGGUAGUUGAAUGCUCAAACUCUCUUCAUGGGUUGACUGCUUUUCAUCAAAUUAACACCAAUUGCUACAACAAUUUCUAUAGCACUAGGCAGAAUUAUGUUGUAUCCUCAGCUAUCGCGUGUUGGACUUCUCAUACUCUUACGCAUCGUAACAAUGACCAAUUGCUAUUCUACCUAAGGCAUGGCAUUAUAAGCAUCUUCUCUCUCUACCCUACAAGGUGAAUGCCUAUGUCUAGUUCUUCACAAAUCUUAACUCCAAGUAUAACCCUUAUGGGAUUCAAGAUAAACUUCAUCCAGGAAACUAAAACUAAGAUCAAGUAUUACUCUAAUAAUAUCCACUAAGACAAGCCCUUUUGCGGCUCUAUCUUAACUUGAACCAUUAAAUGGGUGGUCAACCGAAAUAACAGUUAUAAGUAAAAUGCUACAACAAUUAUAUAGCAACUCAUAAGAACAGUUAAAGACCCAUUAGAUUGUUUGUCAUCUAAAUACAAGCAAGUUUAGUUCAUACUUUGGAAAAGAAAAAAAAACAGCAAAAUAUCGGUUAUGAAAUACAUCGGUUCAAUNNNNNNNNNNNNNNNNNNNNNNNNNNNNNNNNNNNNNNNNNNNNNNNNNNNNNNNNNNNNNNNNNNNNNNNNNNNNNNNNNNNNNNNNNNNNNNNNNNNNNNNNNNNNNNNNNNNNNNNNNNNNNNNNNNNNNNNNNNNNNNNNNNNNNNNNNNNNNNNNNNNNNNNNNNNNNNNNNNNNNNNNNNNNNNNNNNNNNNNNNNNNNNNNNNNNNNNNNNNNNNNNNNNNNNNNNNNNNNNNNNNNNNNNNNNNNNNNNNNNNNNNNNNNNNNNNNNNNNNNNNNNNNNNNNNNNNNNNNNNNNNNNNNNNNNNNNNNNNNNNNNNNNNNNNNNNNNNNNNNNNNNNNNNNNNNNNNNNNNNNNNNNNNNNNNNNNNNNNNNNNNNNNNNNNNNNNNNNNNNNNNNNNNNNNNNNNNNNNNNNNNNNNNNNNNNNNNNNNNNNNNNNNNNNNNNNNNNNNNNNNNNNNNNNNNNNNNAUGAUGUGCUUUUUUCUGGACUUGGAAGAGGUCCUGACUGGGGGUUCCUCGCGUUCUUUCUCAGAUUCUUCCUUUGCCUCUAUUGGUGAACUGUCAGUUGCAGACUUGUCACUCUCUUCUUCAGGUUGGUCAGAUUGGUCAGCAGUUUCUGAUUCAGCCUCUGCUUGUGGUUCUGUUGCAGAUUCCUCUUCUGGUUCAUAUGUGUCAGUAGUUUCUUCACUGACUUCUGUUGGAGCCUCUGUAGUGUUGGUGUCAAAAUUGUACUGCUGGAGUAACGUAUCAGGGAAAUUCCGGUGGGUACUUUUUAUGUAUACAACAAAUUGGUGUAGGUGGCUUUCCAAGUGCUGUAAAUAGCUCUAAAACUAAUCGUUUUCCCUUUGCUGAGCUUCAACACAUUGAGUGAUGCUGGUGCUGAGUGCUUGUAUUCUAUGUUUUAACCCAAUAGCUCGUCUCACCCCUGUUACAGCAGCUGGUUCAGAUGUGGCCCCAACAACUUCACCAGUAAUUCUCUUGAUGGUGCGUACAGUAAGGGCACAAUCAUUCUUGACAUGUUCAUCUUUUGCAUCAAGACGAACUCCCGAUACCACACAGAUGCUAGUGAUGAGUGAAGGAAAUAGCAAGGCAGCUGCUUUGUGAUUUUUCAUUGCACAGUCCCGAAUUUCUUUUUUGAUAAUGCUUCCCACAUCUAUGGAAAACCCUAUAACAAUAACAUACAACAAUACCAACCUUUCUUGUGAAACAGUAGUAGUGUGGGCGGUUGGUAUAAGUCUGGAUUUCAAAAAUUUUACCCACACCUUGGCAAUGGGUUUUAAAUCGAUCUUGUUAAUUACACGCCCUUCCUCAUUAGCCCAUGAAGCACCCUCUACUAUAAGUGUCGUGAAAAUUUUGUUCCAUCGUUGUGAGGUUAAUUUGUCAAGCAAUUGGGCAUACUCGUAAUUAAUUUCAGUAGGUAAAUUAUAGAAAGCAUUUAUAACUUGAGAAUCUAAUAGACCAAGCGAGUUUCUUACCCAUAUGUUGUGCUGACUAGAGCUUACCAAAUUGGCGUAAAAUUCUUUCACUACUGGCAACACCGGGUCUCGAGGGUGGUUACAAAACUCUAGCCACCCGCGCUUUGCUGCAAUAUUGUACAAUGAUUACACAAUUCCUGUGGGUUGAGGUGGAAACUGAAAUCCUUUUUCUUCUAGAAUCUUGUGCGGUUCAAUGAAUUCUUCAUAUUUUUCUUCCGUAUGGUAACUUUGGAAGCGUGAAUGAUCUUUUAAUCGGCUGGCUAUCCUUUUGUACCUUGGCAUUGCUAUAGCAGUAAGAAUUCGAUGGUAAUAUGUCCAGGAGUAAAAUGAGAAGAAGAAGUUAAGAAGUAUUUGAGUCGUGACUGUGAAGGAGAGGGAAAAUAGUGUCAGAGGUCAUUAAGCACAAUAACUCCCUUAUAUAGGGUGAAUUAAAUAAAAACAAAUUCGGUAAAAAGAGAUAAAUUAAGGAAGAAUAUUUUUCAAAUUCAUUAAGCAUAUCUCAUAAAAAUAGGCAAGAGAAAUUAGUGCAUUAAUUUCAGAGGUAUUCUUCCAUAAUUUCUAUCCAAAUCCAUUCACCCAUCUGUCACAUAUUAUUUCCAACGAUAAGUGAGAGGCUCCAUCUUUAAGUUGCUGUAACAGUAAUAUUGGUUGCUGCAGCACCCAAUUGUUUGCUCUAGCAACGGUUACAUACUCUCCUCCAAUAGCUACUGACUGUUACCAGUACAGCCCCAAUUGUUAGUAUGGAAUCCAUUUGUCACAUACAUUUCUCUUGAGAAAUUCAAAAAUCAAUCAUAAUUUAAAGAUAAAAUCAAUCCUAAAAAAGAUAAAAAAAUAAAAUAAAAAUAAAAGUUAAAUAAUCCUAAAUAAGAGAAGUAAAAAUAAUAAAAAUAUUAAAAUGAAUUAAAAUAAAAGGAAAAAUAUUUAACAAAACCAAUGAGGAGCCAUCUAAUUUGAAGUGACUACCUUCGCAAUGGGUUGCCUCCCAUUGAGCGCUUGAUUUAAGGUCCUUUAGCCUGACCUUACUUGAGUGCUCAUAAACUUGGUUCUUUAAGGAGUAAGACCUCCUUUGAACAAUCAGCAGCUGAGUGUAUGUAGUGUUUAACCCUGUGCCCAUUGACUUUGAAUUCUUAGCCUGGUUUUUCAUCUAGAAGAUCAAUAGCCCCAUAAGGAUAAAUUCUGAACAGUUUCAAGGGUCCAGACCAUCGAAAUUUCAGUUUUCCUGGAAACAGUCUUAGCCUAGUAUUAUGAAGCAGUACUAGUUGACCAGGGAUUAAUUUCCUGUGUUGGAUAUGUUUGUCAUACUAGUGCUUUGUUCUCUCUCUAUAAAUUCUUGCAUUUUCAUAUGAGAACAUACGGAAUUCAUCAAGCUCACAUAGUUGAAGUUUCCUUUGCUCUGCUGCAGCAUGUAUAUCCCAAUUUAAUUGCUUUAGUGCCCAGUAUGCUUUGUGCUCUAGCUCGAAUGGCAAGUGACAAGCUUUCCCAUACACAAUUCGGUAGGGAGACAUGCCAAGUGGUGUUUUGUAUGCUGUUCUGUAGGCCCAUAAAGAGUCCUGUAAGUACAGGGACCAAUCAUUCCUUGAUGAGUUCACCAUUUUUUCUAAGAUUUUCUUAAUCUUUCUAUUAGAUACUUCCACCUGGCCAUUGGAUUGUGGGUGAUAUGCUAUUGCUACUUUAUAUCUGACUCCAUAUUUUACCAUGGCUACAGCAAAUACUUUGUUGUAAAAAUGAGUACCCUCAUCAUUAAUAAUUGCUCUUGGAGUGCCAAAACUGGAAAAAAUGUUUUCUUAAGAAAGUCUACAACUGCUCUAGCAUCAUUGGUCGGUAAUGAUGCAGCUUCUACCCAUUUGGAGACAUAAUCCACAGCAAUCAGGAUAUAUAGGUUCCUAAAGGAUGUUGGAAAAGGACCCAUGAAAUCUAUCCCCCAUACAUAAAAAACCUCAACUUCCAGAAUGUUUGAUAAUGACAUUUCAUGUCUUUGAGUUAUAUUUCCUGUCCUUUGACACCUGUUACAAUAUUUAGCAAACUCAUAAGCAUCUUUAAAAAUAGAAGGCCAGUAAUAACCUAAUUGCAGAACCUUAGCAGCUGUUCUGUGACCACCAAAAUGUCCUCCAUAUGCUGCAGCAUGGUAGUAUUCCAGUAUGUGAGGAAUUUCUUCAUCUGAAGCACAUCUUCGUAUUACUUGAUCUGAGCAUAACUUAUACAAACAUGGGUCAUCCCACUGGUAGCUUCUAACAUCAUGAAGAAAUUUCUUUUUCUGCUGAAACUUCAAAUCAGGUGGUAGCAAUCCACUUAUUAAGUAGUUAGAAAAAUUUGCAUACCAUGGAGGUCCUGAUUAAUGCAGCAUCUGUGCUUGCUGUACUACUAACAAUUGUUCAUCAGGAAAAGUUUCAGUGAUGUCUUUUUUUGUCAAUGUGCUUGUGUCUGCUUCUAGCCUCGACAGAUGGUCUGCUACUUGAUUCUCAGUCCCCUUUCUAUCUUUAAUUUCCAAAUCAAACUCCUGAAGCAAUAAAAUCCAUCUUAUUAAUCUUGGUUUAGCAUCCUUUUUUGAGAUUAGGUACUUGAUUACUGCAUGGUCUGUGUACACUGUCACUUUAGUACCCACCAAGUAAGCUCGAAAUUUAUCGAAAGCAAAUACUACUGCUAGCAACUCUUUCUCUGUAGUGGUGUAAUUAAUAUGAGUUUGAGUAAGAGUUUUGCUGGCGUGGUAUAUAGAGUGGAAAAUCUUAUUCUUCCUCUGCCCUAACACUGCCCCAAUAGAAUGGUCAUUGGUAUCACACAUCAUUUCAAAUGGUAGCGUCCAAUCUGGCGAUAUGACCACUGGUGCUGUGAUAAAAGCUUUCUUUAAUUCUUUAAAGGUUUGAAGACAGUCUUUAUCAAAAUGAAAGGGCUUGUCAUGUUCUAGCAAUGAGCAUAAUGGUUUAGCUACCUUCGAAAAAUCUUUUAUGAAUUUUCUAUAAAAUCCAGCAUGACCCAAAAAACUUCUAAUCCCUUUGAUUGAAGUGGGGGGUGGCAAUUUAUCUAUCACUUCUAUUUUUAUUUUAUCCACCUCUAUGCCCUUCUUGGACACCUUAUGACCCAAUACUAUGCCUUCUUGCACCAUGAAGUGUCAUUUUUCCCAAUUGAGUACUAAGUUAGUCAUCUCACAUCUUUUAAGAACUUUUUCUAGAUUGUGUAAACAGUCAGUAUAUGUUUCACCAAAGACUGAGAAAUCAUCCAUAAAGACUUCCAAUGUUUGCUCCACCGUAUCUGAAAAAAUAGACAUCAUACAUCUCUGAAAAGUUGCUGGCGCAUUGCAUAAACCAAAGGGCAUCCUUCUGAAGGCAAAAGUUCCAUAACAACAGGUAAAUGUAGUCUUUUCCUGAUCCUUUGGAGUUAUAGCAAUUUGGUUGUAGCCUGAAUACCCAUCUAGGAAACAAUAAUAUUGUUUUCCAGCAUGUCUGUCCAACAUUUGAUCUAUGAAUGGAAGUGGGAAGUGAUACUUCCUAGUGGCUUUGUUGAGCUUCCUGUAAUCCAUACAUACCCUCUAUCCAGUCAAUGUUCUUGUCGGAAUAAGUUCAUUCUUCUCAUUUGCUAUCACUGUUAUUCCUCAUUUCUUUGGUACACAUUAAACUGGGCUUACCCCUGAAUUGUCUGAUAUUGGGUAUAUAAUUCCAGCAUCCAACCAUUUGAUGAUUUCUUUCUUCACAACUUCCUUCAUAAUAGGGUUUAGUCUUCUCUGUUGCUCCACUGAAUUAUUGUAGCAGUUUUCUAACAGAAUUUUAUGCAUGCAUAAGGAUGGGCUGAUCUCUUUAAUGUCGCCAUAGUCCAUCCAAUUACUUUUCUGUAUUUCCCAAGCACAUCUACCAGGCUCUGUUCUUGACCUUUAUCCAAAGUAGAUGAAAUGAUUACUGGGAGUGUGUUAUUUUGACUAAGAUAAGCAUAUUUCAAAUGUGAGGGUAAUAAUUUUAAUUCAAAAAUAAGAGAUGAUUCAAUAGAUGGUAAAGUUAUUUUUACUUCCCUGUCUAAAAGAUUCAGAUGCUCAACAAAUCUGUUAUGUCUGUUAGAUUGCUUUCCUUUCAUCCAAUCUAUCUGGUUUGCUGCAGAUUGCUUUCCUUUCAUCAAAUCUAUUUGGUUUGCUGCAACAUAUUCUUCUUCAAGGCUCUCAAAGGUGGCAACUUUGAUGAUCUCCUUACUGCAGCAUCUGUCGAUUCUGUCUGCUACAACAAAAUCCAAAACAUUCAGGAAAUUACAAUCUUCUGCCUCAUUAGGGCUUUUCAUAGCCUCUAAUACAUUGAAUGUGACUUGUUGAUCAUUCACCCUCAUUGUUAGCUCUUUUUUUUGCACAUCUAUCAGAGUCUUCCCGGUUGCUAGGAAAGGUCUUCCAAGUAUAAUGGGUACCUCUUUAUCAGCCUCAAAGUCUAAUACAAUGAAGUCCACUAGAGAGAUGAAUUUGUCAACCUUCACCAAUACAUCCUCAAUUUUUCCUUCAGGAUAUACAUGAGAUCUAUCAGCUAAUUGCAGAGUGACUGUUGUUGUCUUGCAUUCUCUUACUCCCAACUACUUAAAUACAGAUAAUGGCAUCAGAUUAAUGCUGGCUCCCAAAUCACAGAGUGCUCUGCCAUUGUACCUAGUUCCAAUGGAACAUGGUAUUGUGAAGCUUCCUGAAUCCUUUAAUUUUUGAGGAAUCUUACUUUGGAACAUAUGAUUGCUUUCCUGUGUUAAAGCAACAGUUUCAAAUUCUCCCAACCUUCUUUUUCUUGCCAAGAUGUCUUUUAGAAAUUUCACAUAAUUAGGCAUUUGCUCUAAUGCUUCCACAAAAGGGAUGUUGAUGUGUAAUUGCUUCAGCACUUCCAAGAAUUUACUAAACUGCUUGUCUUGUUUUUGUUUAUGGAAUCUUUGUGGGAAAGGAAGUGGAUGUCUAAAUUGAUGGGUAGCUUUAGGAGGUACUAAUCUCUGCUCACUUGGUUUAUUGUAAGAUGUUGCCACUGGUGUUGCAACUUCUUCCUCCUCAUUUAUUGGUUGAUUCCCUUCUAUAGUGCUGCAGUUCGAUCAUUAAUACCAGUAUCUUGAUGGCUGGGUUGCUGUAACAUGCUAUCAUCUCGAAGUGAUUCUUGUGAGGACUUAAAUUCCACCCCUUUUUUAGUCACUUCAACAGGGAUAUCAACAUUUUUUCCAGAUCUUAAGUUGAUUACUUUGCAAUGUUCCUUCCCUUCUCUUCUUAGAUCUUCUGUGUUGCUGGGCAAGCUUCCAUGAGAUCUGCUACUCAUUGUUGUGGCAAGCUGACCAAUUUGGUUUUCCAGGUUUCUUAGAGAUACGGUUUGACUUUGUAGAAUUGCUUCAUUCUUUGCAAUAUAUUCCUUAAUCAGUGUUUCUAAUGAAGUGAGAGGGUUUUGGCUGGGGUGUUUUUGCCCUUGAUUUUGUUGAUGAAAACCAGGUGGUUGAAUAUUUAUGUUCUGUCCACUUAAUGCUGGAACAUUUUGAUUCUGAUUACUCUAUGAGAAAUUUGGGUGUUGCUUCAAUCCAGGGUUGUAAGUAUUCGAGAACAGGUUGUUUUGAGGCCGUCGGUUGAAAUUACCCACAUAAUUUAUUGAUGCUGGAUUUCCAAGACAGUUAUCAAAUUCAUGUUCUUUACCACAGUACACGCAAGACAGUUCAGCAACUUGCUUUACUACUGUUGGAGCAGACGUCAGACUUUCACCAUGUUAGUCAAUGAGGUUACUUGUGCUGGUAAUGCUGUAAUUGCAUCUAUAUUAUGUAUCCCUGCUGCUCCUCUUACUGCUGGCUGUCUAGUUGAUGGCCACUGAUAAUUAUUGCUGGCAAUUCUCUCCAGAAUUUCAUAAGCUUCAGUGUAAGAUUUAGAUAAUAAAGCUCCAUUUUCCAUGUAAAUGAUAUUGUUGUUGCCUCGCUGUCUCUGAUUAACAUGCUCAUUCUACUCCUCCUGAAUGUUGACAGGUUGUAGUGGCCCGUGAGGGUCCAAAUUUCCCACAUCCUGUAAGUUAUCUAUGUCUGAAACAGUUUUUGAAUUCCUUUAUUCUCUUCGCAGUCUCCGUACAGUCCUUUCAAUCUUAGAAUCAAAUUGGAAUGCAACAGAUCUAUCUUUCCGCAUGCAAGUAUUGAUUUGUCAAUAAAUAGAACAAAUAAGAUAAAAUUAGCACUAUCAAGAUUGACUUCACACUUUGAAAAUAAACAAUCAAUCCCCGGCAACGGCGCCAAAAACUUGUUGGUUAAUUUUUACUCAAUUGCUACUGAUGCCAAUGUGCAAGUAUACACAACAAGUAAUAAAGUGAUGAGUAUUCAAGAUCGUCUCCACAUGGAUUGAUGUUACUAGAAAUGCUUAGCAAUCACAAUAGUGCAAUCUGACUUAAUUUUAAGAUAAACCUACCGAACUUAACAAUUGCAAAGAAAUAAAACAAAUAAAUACAGUAAUGAAAUAAGUUAAAUAAAUUGCGUAGAAGAAUAAAAAGAGAAUGAGGUAGUUGAAUGCUCAAACUCUCUUAAUGGGUUGACUGCUUUUCAUCAAAUUAACACCAGUUGCUACAACAAUUUCUAUAACACUAGGCAGAAUUAUGUUGUAUCCUCAGCUAUCGCGUGUUGGACUUCUCAUACCCUUACGCAUCGUAACAAUGACCAAUUGUUAUUCUACCUAAGGCAUGACAUUAUAAGCAUCUUCUCUCUCUACCCUACAAGGUGAAUGCCUAUGUCUAGUUCUUCACAAAUCUUACCUCCAAGUAUAGCCUUUAUGGGAUUCAAGAUAAACUUCAUCUAGGAAACUAAAAUUAAGAUCAGGUAUUACUAUAAUAAUAUCCACUAAGACAAGCCCUUUUGCGGCUCUAUCUUAACUUGAACCAUUAAAUGGGUGGUCAACCGAAAUAACAAUUAUAAUCAAAGCUAUUAGAGCAAAAUACUACAACAAUUAUAUAGCAACUCAUAAGAACAGUUAAAGACCCAUUAGAUUGUUUGUCAUCUAAAUACAAGCAAGUUUAGUUCAUACUUUACAAAAGAAAAAAAAAUAGCAAAAUAUCGGUUAUGAAAUACAUCGGUUCAAUCAAAGAGCAAAGAAAAGAACAAAUAGAGAACGAUGAGGAUUGAAUCCAAAUAACUCUGCUGGAUUCUUCACUGAUGCAGACUUGGUUCCCUUGAAUUCUAAUUGUUUUCUUCUUUUCCUCUUUAUUUUUCCAAUAUUAAUUACUUGCUGCCGUUUUUAUGUGAUGCACGCCCCUUUUUAUAACUGAAAACUAAGGUAAACACAAGCAUAAGGUGUGCAUGAGUCAAAUUAGGAAACUACAGAUCGCUAUUCUACAGAUAUCCCGCGCUAAGCUUUCUUUGUCGGUGUUCUAGAAUUGCUACAACAAUGGGUUCUCCCUCAACUGUUACAGCACUGAACUGCUCCAAAUUUUGUUUCACUUCUUUGGUGGCCAUAUUCUUCCUCCGUUUUGCCAUCCUUCUGCAUCAGCAUCCCUUCCAUGAAUUAUAAGCUUCUGAAAACCUACAAUACAAAUGGCUAAAUGAAAAUUUUUGAAGUGGUGAUCCAAUUCAUAAAUCUAUGAAAUUGUUUUAAAACAAUAACUUGCCAUUUCAACAAAUGGCGAUCCGUUUCAGAGUUAAGGGCAACAUGAUAACUCCAUAAAAGAAUAACAACAUAUUUUCUAGUUCAAAUUAUAAAAAGCCAAGUGAAACUCAUUUGAAAGUGAUUGCUCGUCCAAUUUAUUGUCUUCUUCAAUCUUUAUCAAGCUUAAUAUUAUUCAUAAAAAUUACCUUGAGCUUUCAUUUGUCUAUACAUGUACGUUUAUUUGUCAUUGAGCUAUAACUUGCUAAAAUACUCUUGUGAGAGCGAAAUCUUUGCAAACUUCAAUUUCACUUAAAAAUUUGAGUGCUUAUAAGUGUGGGAAACACUUGAGAAUGGGAUGUGUGAUCAUUUCUUAUUAGUUGACAGUUUGGAAGUCAAUUGUAAACACUUGAAGACUUGGGUUGUAGGGCUUGGAUAAUGGAAUCCUCUAGCGCAAUUUGCUUGAAGGCAUGAACGUAGGUAGGUUUGUAUGUAGAAAUCUUGUAUUUGCUUUCCCCUCCCUUACCUUUUUGCAUUUAAUCAUUAUUGCAUUUAUUAUUGUUAGUUGGAGUACAAGUUGGUAUUGCAUUUUGAUUUUCUUGUUUAAUAAUUUUAAAAACCCAAUUCGCCCCUCAAUUGGGUUGCUUAGUUAGAUUUUCAUUUGGCAUCAGAGAGAGAUUCUCUUAUUAAGACUUAAUCGUCUAGACUAAAAGAUCAAUGACAAUCCAAAAUGAUUCAACCUUUAGGAAAUGUCAAUCCACUACUAGACAUCUAUUUUUUUUAUGCACUACAAGAAAACAUGAAAUAGAUGACGGAAAAUAACUGUCAUAAAAGGGGGUGCAUGACAGACAGUUAAUCCGUCAUCUAUGUCACUGUCAUUAAUUUAUGACAGAAUAUUUUUUCAUCAUGAAUUUAUGAUGGUAUUUCACAAUCAUUUAUCCAUCACACAAUAUUUUAAUGUAAAAAUAAUUUAAUUAAAAUUUGAAUUUAUUUAAAUUAUCACGUCCUUCUUUUUUUUUUAAAUUUUUGAUGGGAAGUUCAAUUAUCAUUUGUUAAUAUAUAUCUAUAAUUUUAGUGGGAAAUUUUUUUAUCACAGACUUUACGAUG